GACGAACGCUGGCGGCGUGCUUAACACAUGCAAGUCGAGCGGUAAGGCCUUUCGGGGUACACGAGCGGCGAACGGGUGAGUAACACGUGGGUGAUCUGCCCUGCACUUCGUGAUAAGCCUGGGAAACUGGGUCUAAUACCGCAUAUGACCUCCUAUCGCAUGGUGGGUGGUGGAAAGAUUUAUCGGUGCAGGAUGGGCCCGCGGCCUAUCAGCUUGUUGGUGGGGUAAUGGCCUACCAAGGCGACGACGGGUAGCCGACCUGAGAGGGUGACCGGCCACACUGGGACUGAGACACGGCCCAGACUCCUACGGGAGGCAGCAGUGGGGAAUAUUGCACAAUGGGCGAAAGCCUGAUGCAGCGACGCCGCGUGAGGGAUGACGGCCUUCGGGUUGUAAACCUCUUUCAGCAGGGACGAAGCGCAAGUGACGGUACCUGCAGAAGAAGCACCGGCUAACUACGUG
RNAcentral lists this ribosomal RNA (462 nucleotides) under uncultured bacterium. RNAcentral's name for it is "partial 16S ribosomal RNA". It matches the Rfam family "Bacterial small subunit ribosomal RNA", at positions 28 to 507 of the family's 1533-position model. The record is from RNAcentral.